UACAGAGGGUGCAAGCGUUGCUCGGAAUUAUUGGGCGUAAAGGGUAGGUAGGUGGUCUCAUUUGUCUCAUGUGAAAUCCUUGGGCUUAACCCAAGAAGUGCGUGAGAAACGGUGAGACUGGAGUCCUGGAGAGGGUCGUGGGAAUUCCCGGUGUAGCGGUGAAAUGCGUAGAGGAUCGGAAGGAACACCAGAGCGAAGGCG
RNAcentral lists this ribosomal RNA (201 nucleotides) under uncultured bacterium. Its description in RNAcentral is "partial 16S ribosomal RNA". It matches the Rfam family "Bacterial small subunit ribosomal RNA", at positions 524 to 723 of the family's 1533-position model. The record is from RNAcentral.